AGUGAACGCUGGCGGUAGGCCUAACACAUGCAAGUCGAGCGGCAGCACAGGAGAGCUUGCUCUCUGGGUGGCGAGUGGCGGACGGGUGAGGAAUACAUCGGAAUCUACUCUGUCGUGGGGGAUAACGUAGGGAAACUUACGCUAAUACCGCAUACGACCUACGGGGGAAAGCAGGGGACCUUCGGGCCUUGCGCGAUUGAAUGAGCCGAUGUCGGAGUAGCUAGUUGGCGGGGUAAAGGCCCACCAAGGCGACGAUCCGUAGCUGGUCUGAGAGGAUGAUCAGCCACACUGGAACUGAGACACGGUCCAGACUCCUACGGGAGGCAGCAGUGGGGAAUAUUGGACAAUGGGCGCAAGCCUGAUCCAGCCAUACCGCGUGGGUGAAGAAGGCCUUCGGGUUGUAAAGCCCUUUUGUUGGGAAAGAAAUCCAGCUGGCUAAUACCCGGUUGGGAUGACGGUACCCAAAGAAUAAGCACCGGCUAACUUCGUGCCAGCAGCCGCAGUAA
RNAcentral lists this ribosomal RNA (506 nucleotides) under uncultured bacterium. RNAcentral describes it as "partial 16S ribosomal RNA". It matches the Rfam family "Bacterial small subunit ribosomal RNA", at positions 29 to 523 of the family's 1533-position model. The record is from RNAcentral.